CCUUCAUGAAGCUGGAAUUGCUAGUAAUGGCAGGUCAGCAUACUGCCGUGAAUACGUUCCCGGGCCUUGUACACACCGCCCGUCACACCAUGAGAGUUGGAAAUACCCGAAGCCUGUGAGCUAACUUUUAGAGGCAGCAGUCGAAGGUAGAAUCAAUGAUUGGGGUGAAGUCGUAACAAGGUACC
Molecule: ribosomal RNA, 185 nt
Filed under: uncultured bacterium
Lineage: Bacteria
Description: partial 16S ribosomal RNA
Rfam family: Bacterial small subunit ribosomal RNA
Source: RNAcentral